Molecule: long non-coding RNA, 271 nt
Filed under: Ananas comosus (pineapple)
Lineage: Eukaryota; Viridiplantae; Streptophyta; Magnoliopsida; Poales; Bromeliaceae
Description: long non-coding RNA (ACOM_LNC010341)
Source: RNAcentral
CUGAGUUCUCUAUAUAUUUUGUUAAGUCUCGUGUGUUGGCAAGUUUCGUGAAUUGAGUUGAAGUCUUGAAGGGUUCGGAGCGUAUCGUCGAAGAUUGAAGAAUUCAAGACUUCGAAGAAAGCUGAAAUAUCUCACGACGUGAAUCACGAUACUCGGGUAAAGUUUUAAUUCAUGUUAUGAUGAUUCAUGCUUAGUUAUAGGUAUUAGAAUUAGAAAAUUAAAGUUUAGUGGAUUAGAAAGUGCGUCGGAACUUUGCGAAACCCGAAACUGU